RNAcentral lists this ribosomal RNA (1138 nucleotides) under Streptomyces sp. RNAcentral's name for it is "bacterial SSU rRNA". It matches the Rfam family "Bacterial small subunit ribosomal RNA", at positions 45 to 1191 of the family's 1533-position model. Lineage: Bacteria; Bacillati; Actinomycetota; Actinomycetes; Kitasatosporales; Streptomycetaceae. The record is from RNAcentral.
GGCUUAACCAUGCAAGUCGAACGAUGAACCGCUUUCGGUGCGGGGAUUAGUGGCGAACGGGUGAGUAACACGUGGGCAAUCUGCCCUGCACUCUGGGACAAGCCCUGGAAACGGGGUCUAAUACCGGAUAUGACCGUCUGCCGCAUGGUGGAUGGUGUAAAGCUCCGGCGGUGCAGGAUGAGCCCGCGGCCUAUCAGCUUGUUGGUGAGGUAGUGGCUCACCAAGGCGACGACGGGUAGCCGGCCUGAGAGGGCGACCGGCCACACUGGGACUGAGACACGGCCCAGACUCCUACGGGAGGCAGCAGUGGGGAAUAUUGCACAAUGGGCGAAAGCCUGAUGCAGCGACGCCGCGUGAGGGAUGACGGCCUUCGGGUUGUAAACCUCUUUCAGCAGGGAAGAAGCGAAAGUGACGGUACCUGCAGAAGAAGCGCCGGCUAACUACGUGCCAGCAGCCGCGGUAAUACGUAGGGCGCAAGCGUUGUCCGGAAUUAUUGGGCGUAAAGAGCUCGUAGGCGGCUUGUCACGUCGGUUGUGAAAGCCCGGGGCUUAACCCCGGGUCUGCAGUCGAUACGGGCAGGCUAGAGUUCGGUAGGGGAGAUCGGAAUUCCUGGUGUAGCGGUGAAAUGCGCAGAUAUCAGGAGGAACACCGGUGGCGAAGGCGGAUCUCUGGGCCGAUACUGACGCUGAGGAGCGAAAGCGUGCGGAGCGAACAGGAUUAGAUACCCUGGUAGUCCACGCCGUAUACGGUGGGCACUAGGUGUGGGCAACAUUCCACGUUGUCCGUGCCGCAGCUAACGCAUUAAGUGCCCCGCCUGGGGAGUACGGCCGCAAGGCUAACACUCAAAGGAAUUGACGGGGGCCCGCACAAGCGGCGGAGCAUGUGGCUUAAUUCGACGCAACGCGAAGAACCUUACCAAGGCUUGACAUACACCGGAUACGUCUGGAGACAGGCGCCCCCUUGUGGUCGGUGUACAGGUGGUGCAUGGCUGUCGUCAGCUCGUGUCGUGAGAUGUUGGGUUAAGUCCCGCAACGAGCGCAACCCUUGUCACGUGUUGCCAGCAGGCCCUUGUGGUGCUGGGGACUCACGGGAGAACCGCCGGGGUCAACUCGGAAGAAGGUGGGGACAACGUCAAGUC